Neogale vison (American mink) is the source of this 759-nucleotide non-coding RNA. The record is from the annotation of a RefSeq genome assembly. NCBI's taxonomy places the organism in Eukaryota, Metazoa, Chordata, Mammalia, Carnivora, Mustelidae.
AUGGCCCAACCAGUAUUACCUGUAAGACCAGCCCAAUUCUGGCUUGGGCACAGAACCUCUAACCGGUGUGAUAACUCAGGCUGGAUCAAGAUAUUUGCACAAGGGACUAAGCUCAUAGUAACUCCCCCAGACAAAAGCCUUGAUGCAGACAUAUUCCCCAAGCCCAAAAUUUUUUUCCCUUCACUUGCUGAAAUAAAAUUCCACAUGUCCGGUACAUACAUUUGUCUUCUUGAGAAUUUUUUCCCCAAAGUUAUCAAGAUACAUUGGAAAGAAAAGGAUGGCAAAACAAUUCUGAAAUCCCAGCAGGGAGACACCAUGAAGACUAAGGACACAUACAUGAAAUUCAGCUGGCUGACCGUGGCUAGAGAGUCAUUGGCUAAAGAACAAAAAUGUAUCAUCACACAGGAGAGUAAUAAAGGAGGGAUUGAUGAAGAGAUUGUUUUUCGUUCAAUGAAAAAAGAGCUCACUGCUAUUGAUUCUACAAAAAAUGAAGAUGCCACCCUGCAGCUACAGCUCAAGACCACCUCUGCCCGCUACACCUACCUCCUCCUCUACUUCAAGAGCCUGAUCUACUCCACCAUCAUCACCAUCCAUCUGUUUGGGAGACCAGCACUCGGUGGCAAUGGGAAGAGUUCCUAGCACAUGGUGGCACCAAGGAUCCACUUUUCUCCAUUGGCUAUUGUCGUUAAAAAUCUUUCUUUCUUGGUUUGCAUUAUUUCAGUUCAUACAUGCAUUUUUUAAUUGUGUCAUUUCUGCAGA